RNAcentral lists this ribosomal RNA (497 nucleotides) under uncultured bacterium. Its description in RNAcentral is "partial 16S ribosomal RNA". It matches the Rfam family "Bacterial small subunit ribosomal RNA", at positions 28 to 507 of the family's 1533-position model. The record is from RNAcentral.
GAUGAACGCUGGCGGCGUGCCUAAUACAUGCAAGUCGAGCGAACGGACGAGAAGCUUGCUUCUCUGAUGUUAGCGGCGGACGGGUGAGUAACACGUGGAUAACCUACCUAUAAGACUGGGAUCACUUCGGGACACCGGAGCUAAUACCGGAUAAUAUUUUGAACCGCAUGGUUCAAUAGUGAAAGACGGUCUUGCUGUCACUUAUAGAUGGAUCCGCGCUGCAUUAGCUAGUUGGUAAGGUAACGGCUUACCAAGGCAACGAUGCAUAGCCGACCUGAGAGAGUGGUCGGCGACACUGGAGCUGGGACACGGUCCAGACGCCUGCGGGAGGCAGCAGUAGGGAAUCUUCCGCAAUGGUCGAAAGCCUGACGGAGCAACGCCGCGUGAGUGAUGAAGGUCUUCGGAUCGUAAAACUCUGUUAUUAGGGAAGAACAUAUGUGUAAGUAACUGUGCACAUCUUGACGGUACCGAAUCAGAAAGCCACGGCUAACUACGUG